GUGCCAGCAGCCGCGGUAAUACGUAGGGUGCAAGCGUUGUCCGGAAUUAUUGGGCGUAAAGAGCUCGUAGGCGGUCUGUUGCGUCUGCUGUGAAAACCCGGGGCUUAACCCCUGGCUUGCAGUGGAUACGGACAGACUAGAGGUAGGUAGGGGAGAAUGGAAUUCCCGGUGUAGCGGUGAAAUGCGCAGAUAUCGGGAGGAACACCGGUGGCGAAGGCGGUUCUCUGGGCCUUACCUGACGCUGAGGAGCGAAAGCGUGGGGAGCGAACAGGAUUAGAUACCCCUGUAGUCC
RNAcentral lists this ribosomal RNA (292 nucleotides) under uncultured bacterium. Its description in RNAcentral is "partial 16S ribosomal RNA". It matches the Rfam family "Bacterial small subunit ribosomal RNA", at positions 505 to 796 of the family's 1533-position model. The record is from RNAcentral.